CGGGACGGGUGAGUAAUGUCUGGGAAACUGCCUGAUGGAGGGGGAUAACUACUGGAAACGGUAGCUAUACCGCAUAACGUCGCAAGACCAAAGAGGGGACCUUCGGGCCUCUUGCCAUCGGAUGUGCCCAGAUGGGAUUGGCUAGUAGGUGGGGUAACGGCUCACCUAGGCGACGAUCCCUAGCUGGUCUGAGAGGAUGACCAGCCACACUGGAACUGAGACACGGUCCAG
RNAcentral lists this ribosomal RNA (231 nucleotides) under uncultured bacterium. RNAcentral's name for it is "partial 16S ribosomal RNA". It matches the Rfam family "Bacterial small subunit ribosomal RNA", at positions 100 to 334 of the family's 1533-position model. The record is from RNAcentral.